This 871-nucleotide ribosomal RNA is filed under the name Priestia endophytica. RNAcentral describes it as "bacterial SSU rRNA". It matches the Rfam family "Bacterial small subunit ribosomal RNA", at positions 68 to 919 of the family's 1533-position model. Lineage: Bacteria; Bacillati; Bacillota; Bacilli; Caryophanales; Bacillaceae. The record is from RNAcentral.
GUUUUGAAAAGCUUGCUUUUCAAAACUUAGCGGCGGACGGGUGAGUAACACGUGGGCAACCUGCCCUUGAGACGGGGAUAACUCCGGGAAACCGGAGCUAAUACCGGAUAACACAUAUCUUCGCAUGAGGAUAUGUUAGAAGGUGGCUUUUAGCUACCACUCAAGGAUGGGCCCGCGGCGCAUUAGCUAGUUGGUGAGGUAACGGCUCACCAAGGCGACGAUGCGUAGCCGACCUGAGAGGGUGAUCGGCCACACUGGGACUGAGACACGGCCCAGACUCCUACGGGAGGCAGCAGUAGGGAAUCUUCCGCAAUGGACGAAAGUCUGACGGAGCAACGCCGCGUGAGUGAUGAAGGUUUUCGGAUCGUAAAGCUCUGUUGUUAGGGAAGAACAAGUAUCUGUUGAAUAAGCAGGUACCUUGACGGUACCUAACCAGAAAGCCACGGCUAACUACGUGCCAGCAGCCGCGGUAAUACGUAGGUGGCAAGCGUUGUCCGGAAUUAUUGGGCGUAAAGCGCGCGCAGGCGGUUCCUUAAGUCUGAUGUGAAAGCCCACGGCUCAACCGUGGAGGGUCAUUGGAAACUGGGGAACUUGAGUGCAGAAGAGGAGAGCGGAAUUCCACGUGUAGCGGUGAAAUGCGUAGAGAUGUGGAGGAACACCAGUGGCGAAGGCGGCUCUCUGGUCUGUAACUGACGCUGAGGCGCGAAAGCGUGGGGAGCGAACAGGAUUAGAUACCCUGGUAGUCCACGCCGUAAACGAUGAGUGCUAAGUGUUAGAGGGUUUCCGCCCUUUAGUGCUGCAGCAAACGCAUUAAGCACUCCGCCUGGGGAGUACGGGUCGCAAGACUGAAACUCAAAGGAAUUGACGGGGA